Long non-coding RNA from Corvus hawaiiensis (hawaiian crow), 2052 nucleotides. RefSeq lists it as uncharacterized. NCBI's taxonomy places the organism in Eukaryota, Metazoa, Chordata, Aves, Passeriformes, Corvidae. The transcript is spliced from 8 exons. The record is from RefSeq and is a predicted model, not a curated record.
UCUGUUUGUCUGCAGCUUUUUGUUGGAAGCUUCUAAAAAUACUCUCUUUCCUUGCCUUGAGCUGACUCUCCAGCAUUUCUUUGUUGUGCCUUCCUUGCAGCAGCUUUCUGCUCCCAUGGACACGUGGACAUCUAACACACAUCCAGCCUCUGUGCUUUGUGAGGUACUUCUGGCUGUGAGCCUGCUCUGUGCCUGAGGUUGGCUUUCUGACUCCUGCUGCAGGGUGAUGAUCCUGGUGAGGAGCUCUGCAGGGCAGUUCUGGGUUUGCUGGAGAGCUUUGUGUGGGAGUUUAAAGCUGCUUUCACAGCUUUGGUAAUGGGACUGUGUGGGAGGUACUGCCAAAAGAGAUGAGAAAUCUGCACCCAGAGCUAUCUCUGAAGGAUUGGAAGGAGUGCCCCAGAAGAUGUGAGCUUGUGGAGCUGAAGGUUCACGUGCCAUGUGACAGUGUGGAAGGGAGCGACCCUCAGCAUGUUUGAAUCUCUUACAGCCUAAUGUGUUGUACAGGAAAGCACUCUGAAGAAGUUAGAAGCACAAUAUAUAAAACCAGAGAGCACUGUUUCUAGGCAGUAUGAAACAGCAUUCACAAGCCUUGUCUCAUGGUUUGUGUGAAGGUUUAGUGCACAUCUUAAUCUGUGGUGCUGACAGUGCUGUUUUAGACAUUUGCAUCUCCUUGUUUUGAUAGUGAGCACAUCCUGGAGUAGGGGUCAUUUUUUCUCCACAGAAACAACACUUUCUCCAACAAAAGACUUCUGGAUGCAUGUUUAUAAAAGGCAUUUUCUGUGGUGGACGUCUUCAGUGAGUGUAUUCUUUUUGAAGUUAUCAAGCAUUCUGAUUGUCAGAUGUCUUUCCUGAAAUGCCUGGGACACAACAAAAUUCCUUAUGAAAUGAGCACGAAGGGAAUAUGUUAGCCUGCCUUACUGGAGGCCACUGUCCAUCGUUCCUGCACAGUCCUGAACCUGCUUAUUCCAGUCCUCCUGCAUGGCAAUGCAAUUUACAAUCUGUAAAGGAGACUUCUGGGGCUGCAUUGCACCUGCCUGUCAAUCACAGUUCAGAUCUCACUGAAAUACUUACAUUUGGGUGCCAAAAGCCAGAGAUUUCCGAAAUCAUUGCUUCAUUCUGACAACUGAGUACCCCAGAUUUGCGCCUAGGACUCAUGGAAGGUGUCUUACCCUGCCUGUGUUAAUGCCUCUGACAUUACUGAGAAUAUUCCAGAAGUGACACAGACAGAAUAGUCCUGAGCACCAGAUAACAGAUCCAUGGGAAGAGUGCCAAGACACAAAGGGAUGUGUUCUUUACUGGAGAAGAUGCACAGGACCAAUUGGAGUUCUAAUGGUCUGGUAUUGAUCUGGAAGUCCUUGUUCAAAAUCCCUUCAGACACAACCUUUGCGGUCUGCUGACAACGCAGCCCCUCCGAGGGCAGGAAUGAGCGUUACAGAAGCAGAGCAUGCAAAUAUCAUCUGCAAUUUCUCCAGCGUCCUGCAGCCCUGGCUUCAGGCUCCACCUAGGAAUCGAGCAUCCACCACCCAGAUGUUCAGCCUCAGUUGGCUGCUAGGGAUAUUGCCUUUAAGCAAUUGCUUGCAAAGUUUGGAGAAUCAAGGUUUAAUGUGUUCCCAGAAGCUUGCACACUGUCCUGCAGGAUAUUUUUGCAAUAUUGCUAUGCCAAGGGAACAUGUUAACAAAUACAUCUGGGGUUUUUUGUUUUUAGGUAAUUUCUUCUGUCUGUUCUUUCCCUUUUGAAAGAGAAAUGAACUCUGUGCAUGUUUGCAGGUUUCUGCCAGCAAGAGAACCUUUUGAAAGUGAGUGGACAGGAGCUGCACAAACAUUAAAAUACACUGCUCUCCAUCAAAGUUAAGAACCUGUAUCUAAACUUGGCCAGUGUGCAGUAAUCAAUAUCCUUUCACUGCAUAUGGUGUUCCUCUGAAGUUUAAGUGCUAAUGGUGCCAUUUAGCAAGCACACCCAUCUUUGUGUGAAAACCCUUUCCUUGAAGAACCCAGCAAAGGCGUGUACACUGAAGUCAAGGGUACAUCAACAGGCAAGCAUAUUAAAAAAUA